This is a long non-coding RNA of Dendroctonus ponderosae (mountain pine beetle), 5176 nucleotides long. RefSeq lists it as uncharacterized. The transcript has 3 exons. Lineage: Eukaryota; Metazoa; Arthropoda; Insecta; Coleoptera; Curculionidae. The record is from RefSeq and is a predicted model, not a curated record.
GUGAUAUCUUUGAAUACAGUGAUACUAAUUUAGAUAAAUUAUAACACACAUAUUAAGAAAGGGUUAGAAAAACGUAGAAUUAUUUAGAAAUUUGGCAAAGCCGUUAAUUGGUAUAAUCAAUGAAUGCUGACAAUUGUCUAAAGCACAAAAAUUGUACAAGUAUUAGUAAGCACACCAGACGUGCAUGUAAAAAUUUUGCAUCCUCAACAUAUCUGUAAAGAAGCGUUUUUAUUAAAUGCCUUAGGAAAUAGCAAAAACAUAUUCCAGGAAAAACAACUUCAAGUGAACAUUGGAAAAUCGGUGACUAAAAGAUAGGCGGUAUUGAAUGGAAGAAUGCGUUAUGUUAUUUGUUUAAUGCACAAAAUUAUGAACAAAUGUGUUAUGAACAGAUAUUAAAAUACUAUUAAAACAUUUCAAAGAAGAAAUACAAGUUAAUUUUGUCACAAGCAAUAGACAAAUAAAUAAUUAUUCUACUAGGCCUAUUAAACCUCACCGAGCCUGUAAAUUACGUGAUUAACACUCACAUUUCAGCUCCUAUCACACAAUCGCGAGCUCCUAUUGCUAUUAAUAUUUACAAAUAGAUUUAUAUUGUAAUUAAAAAAAAAAAACUUUUUGAAAUAUCUGAUAUGCACAACUUUGUACCUAAAUAAAUAGAAUUGAUGAUCUUGUGAAAGGCAGAACAUGUGAUCUUAAAUUGAAAAGUGUUGUUUGGGCAAGGGCUAAAGAGGUGAAGGUAAAGUUUAAAAUAAAUAUAAACAUAUCACUCCAAUUCACAGUUCAGUAUGAUUUUUCCUAGGGUAUUGAAAUUUUACAGUCAACAUUUUGAAAUUCAACAUUUUCAAAAUGUAAAUGAUAGUCUACUUCUUUAGAACUAGGAACUUGUCCUAAGACAUAGGUGAGAAGCUUGAACCUUGAAUCAUCCAUUCAUAAAAUUUGAAAUUUAUUACAAAAAAGUUCUGGUUCAGUUAAUACGUUCUGGGUCCAUGUGUCAAUCGUCGAUUUAACAAUUUCUGUUACAUGAUUGCCUUGAGAGCGGCUUAUCCACCCACAAAAGUAAGUAUUUUAAUAUGGCAUAUUUAUUUAGAGAACUCAUUAAUAGAAUGUUCGAAUGUUCUGUUAUAAAAUUGGGCAUUUAAAACAGAAAAACAUUUUUUUUUUCGAUAAUAUGGACUUGUACCUCGGUCCUUGAAUUUUAUUUGUGCGUUGCGCUAUAGCCGUAAAGAAAAAAAUUCUCAACAGUUUCACCUUAGAUGUCGAGCCAAAUGCGGUGAGAUUGAUACUAUUGCAGUACGAACGACAUAGAACACCUCUGAACGGCUUCUAAAGAUCUGCAUUAAAAAUAAGACGGCGAAAAAGGAAAUGGUUUGACGGAGAAUGCGAGGAAGCGCUAAAGAUAAAAACUAAAAAACGACUGACAAUGCUGGCAAACCGUACAGAAGAGAACAAGGACGAAUUUUACAAGACAAGAAUAGAGACGAUACGAUUGCUUAGAACUAAAAGAAGAAUAACCUGGAACAACAAAUUCGGAAAUAGACAGAAAUAGAGAUAUGAAUCAAGUUCGGAAAUUCUAUAGGGAAGUAAACCGAGUAAGAAAAGGUUGAAGUGUUGCAGAAUGAAAAGCUAUGUUAAAUGUACUUUCAGGAUCGAGUUACUAAAUUUUGAGAGUGAGGCAGAAAAAGAAAACAUUAUCAUCAGUGUAGAUUUCGUGCUGGAAGGUCAACAAUAGAUCAAAUAUUUUCGAUCACGCAAAUCUGAGAAAAUAACUGACAGUUCAAUCGGGAUAUUCAACAAAUGUGGGUAAGGGGCGAAGGCUAAUAACAGCUAUAAAGGCGAGCCCAAAUGUCAACCUCAACUGCACGUGGUGCCCACUGCUAAAAACUAACGAGGCUCUGACGACCGAGAUACGGCGUAAUAUCCGUUUCACCCUUAAGUAAAUGUAAUUCCCACUCACCAACACGCCUGGCAAGCGUGGUGUUUUAAUGCCAACUCCUUUCAUAAAUGGAUAUGUCGAAAAUUAAAACAUGUAUACCCCAGGCGGGUAGAGGUGAAAACCUGGAAUCUCGCACUGAUACUUCAGUCAGCCCCGUGGAUUCUAGGGGGGGGGGGGCAAACUUUCGAUAGAUGGUAAGAGAAGAAGAAGCAAACUUGCUUGAAGAGACCCUUUACAUGGGGACGCACAAUAUCCGCACCAUAAGGCUGGAAGAACAUCUCAGCGGCCUAGAACACGAACUGCAGUACAUAAAGUGGGAUGUCAUAGGGAUCAGCAAUACAAGACUGAGCGGCGAAGCGGUCACUAUUCUCAAAUCUGGACAUUUACUGUUCCAAAAGAACUCGGACACAAACUCAGAUAUCAAAGGCAUUGCUUUACUGGUUCACAAAAAGUAGAAACACCUGCUUACAAAGACAGGAGCCGCGUUAAACAGAGUAAUUUAUGUAAUAAUCAAGAUCAACGCAAUGUUUAGUAUCCAAAUCAUCCAAGCAUAUGCACCCACUUCUGCCUCCUCAGACGAAGAAAUCGAAGAAUUCUAUAAAGAUCGAACAACUGCAAAGAGCGCAGAAAACCCCAAAAUCUGUGUGAUAAUAGGCGAUUUCAACGUGAAGAUUCGAGCCAGAUUGCCGAUGGAUUCCUUCACCGGUAAAUAGGGUUUGGGAGCUAGGAACCAAAGGGGACAAACCAUAAUCGACUUCCGCAACAAGCAGAGGCUCUACUGCAUGAAUACCUUCUACAAAAAGCACCCGAAAAGAAAAUGGACUUGGAAAAUCCCCGAUAACAGGAUCAAAAAUGAGUUAAACCAUGUUCUAACAUCGAACCCCCAAUUAUGCUCAGACGUGUCAAUAAUAAACCGCUUGGACACAGGCAGCGACCACAGAUGAGUCAGAACCAGGAUCCAGACAUCGACACCAGAGAAAACCUCUAGUAGAAAGAAAGAUACGGCCAACCACAAGUGAACUACGAGAGAAAGCAGAAGAAUUCAGUAAGCAAAUUGACAAGAAGCUACACCCAAUUGAAGAUACGCGAAACAUGGAACUAAACGCACUCGCAACGAAGAUCACCUCUAGUAUUAAAAGCGCAGUGCGGAAAGUAUGUACUUUCCAAAGUAAGAAACAUCCGAAAUUCAGUUUAGAAAUAGAACAACUCAUUGAAGAACGAAGGAAAACCGACAAAAACUCACUAAGGUAUGGGGAUCUGAAUAAGAUCGUGAAGAAGGCCAUCAAGAAAGAUCAGAGAGCUUAUAAUGAACAACAUACAGAAGAAGAAAACAUGAUAGUUCUCCGUUCCUAGAAAUCUGAAGGUAAAAUUAUUAUUUAGAAGAUAAAAAACGAUCAAGGACUCAUUGAGAGUGACAGAGGAAAGAUAGCAGAAAUUAUUGAGAUAUUCUAUCGACGACUGUCCAUCGGUGGACAACCAAAUCAAGAAGGCCAAAUUCAUCAGCCAGUCCUAAACGUAGGAUCAGAGGAAUUAGCGCCCAUUGAUGGGGAAGAACUAGUGGCAGCGCUAAAACACCUGAAGAACUUCAAAGCCCCGGGAGUAGACCAGAAUACCAGUGAUAUGUUGAAGGCCGGCGGAGAGACACUCAGGAAUGCACUCCUGAUCUUACUUAAUAAAUGUCUAGAAAAAGAAAAAAUCCCGAACUCUUAGAAAACGUAAAAGUCAUCCUAUGAUUCAAGAAAAACGAUUACACAAUCUAGAGAAUUUCAUUCCCAUCAGCAUGUUAUCCAUCCUCUACAAAGUACUAACUAAAAUAAUAACGAACCGCCUGAGCUAUAAAUUCUACUUUUACCAGCCAGUCGAACAGGCGGGUUUCUUCAGAAAGGGGUACAUUUACGAAUAACAUGAUCAUAUACAAGCAGUACGCUCGUUAGUAGAAAAAUGCACGGAAUACAACAUCGCACUGCACAUGGCCUUCGUCGACUAUCAGCUUUCGAUUCGAUCGAAAUCUGGGCAAUACUGGAUGCGAUGAAUAACGCUCGCAUAGAUUACAGAUACUGGAACAUCAUACGAUAUAUCUACAAACAUGCCACCAUGCACAAAAAAAUUGAAGACAAAUGGAUUACUGCAAAAGUCGCAGUACAGCGAGGUGUCAGGCAAGGGGAUACAAUCUCACCACAGUUCUUCACCAUAGCAAUGGAGAACGCAUUUAAAUGCCUAUCAUAGGAUCAGAGAGUCAUAGUAAGGAAUUUAAGUACCUGGGUAUUUAUGAAUGACCGUCUAGUAGAAAAAUAUGUCGUCUCAGCACGAAUAGUGGUGGGAAAAGGGGCGUUAUAGCCUCUCACAACAAUAUUGAAAUCUAAUAUUUAAGAGAUAAUCCAUACUAACUUCCUACAGGUCAAUAAUUCGUCCGGUUCUUGUGUUUGAAAGAAAAGUGCUCAGAAUGAUAUUUGGACCCAAUACAGAUAAAACAACAGGAGUGUGGAAAAGACGCCACAAUGCUGAAUUCACGACAAUCUAUGGCAGUGAAAAGAUAGUCAGGCACAUAAAAGCUAACCGAAUAAGAUGGGCACCUCAUGUAGAAAGAUCAGAGGGCAACAAACAGGUUGAUAAAAACAGUAUUCCUUGACAUACCAGAUGGCAGAAGAUCAAUAGGUAGAUCCAUAAAUAGAUGAAAGGAUGCCUGUCGCAGCAGUUCUAUCUAGGAUGGGAGUCCAGCGAUGACAAGUGAAUCUCACAAGAUCGUAGGAGAUGGAGACCAAUAGUGGCUGUGGCUAAGACUCACUCAGAGUUGGAAAGCCAGGAAAGAAGAAGAAUAUUAAAAAUUUAUCUGGACAGUCAUGAGCAAGGCAUAUGUUACAAUUCUUAUGAAAAUUAUACUAUAAAAAACGUUUUCGAAAGCUGAUUAAAAUGGCCUUGCGAGUAUACCUUACCACCUUCUUUCAUGCAUUUUGGCAUUUCUCAGCUACAUCUUUAGAAUCUCUAUAGAGUAGCGUCUCACCCAUAUAAUUUUCACUUUAUGUCGUAUUAAUGUCGUAAUGUUAAUGAAGCAGAUUAUCUUUAAAUCGUUGUUGCAUAAUUUCCGAUAUAGUUUUUUGCAAAUAUUUCAGUUUUUGAUAAGAAGAUGCAAAUAGCUCCAUUGUUUGCUACUUUUCCUCUACUCCUAAAACACCACCAAACCACACCCCUAAAGGAAUGACGCCCAUUUUGGAUGCCCCUGUAUAUCUAACUGUAUUGGUUUUCCUA